This is a non-coding RNA of Heterocephalus glaber (naked mole-rat), 225 nucleotides long. The record is from RefSeq and is a predicted model, not a curated record. NCBI's taxonomy places the organism in Eukaryota, Metazoa, Chordata, Mammalia, Rodentia, Bathyergidae.
GAUUGAGACAAAACACAGUCUUCACUGCAAGAGAGGCAGAGUCACAUUGCUGAGGAUAAAAGAACAUAUUGAGGCAACAUAGUUGAGCAUUGCAGCUGAGAUUUGCCUGAUUCCAAAGUGACUCUUUGGAUCACCGUACUAGGGGUGACCAUUGUCUCCAGUCCAUCCUGUGCUCAGUGAGUCAUUAAUUAAACCCAGAGUCUCCAUAAGUGACCUGUUUUGGCA